Molecule: non-coding RNA, 739 nt
Organism: Phalacrocorax carbo (great cormorant)
Lineage: Eukaryota; Metazoa; Chordata; Aves; Suliformes; Phalacrocoracidae
Source: RefSeq, a predicted model, not a curated record
GGAGGCGGCGGGGCCCGGCGGUGGCUUCCUCAGGGUCGCCGUGAGGGGGCGCGAGGAGCAGCGUGACGGGAUUAACCGCCGCGGGCUGUUGGGGAGUGACCGUUAACGGACAAACCGUUAUCUGCCGUGCCCGAACGCUUUUUAAAAACAACAAAAAAAAUUCCGUUUCUGAAGGGAGAGCACCUCUUGGCCGUGGUGGCAGAGCGGGAAGGUGACACAAAGGUGUGGGGAGCAGAGGAAUGAUUUUCAGAAGGAAUCUAUGCAGUGAACAUGACCAACCACUGAGCUGCCUGACGCUACUACCUCAACUCUGUUGUUCAUGAGAUUAAGUUCUCUUCCUACUUCACUGAGCAGCAGCAGAAAACAUUACCAAGAAAGCCUUUUCAACAACCUGCCCCCACCUGACAAACUUUCUGCUUCACUUCAUACGGAGUGCUUGGCUCUAGGUCUCCUUGCAGAAAAAGAAUGGCUAUUAGGUGAAAAGGUCUAACAGACAAAAAACACAGACAUGUGGAACCAGCUAUGACAGUGCAGAAGGACUGACAUUCUGCAAGAUGCUGUAUGACCUGUCUUCUGUAGCUGCUACUCGGCAAAGAUACGUAUAUCUGGCUGAUCUCAGAGCCUAUAGACCAUGUCUGUAACUGCUGUAUUUGAUAACUGUUUGAUGCUCUUGAACCUGUGCAACUGCAGAUGGACCUUGUCAGGCAGCCUGAGGAAUGUCUGUGCCAGCUGUACUCUG